Molecule: long non-coding RNA, 1019 nt
Filed under: Vigna radiata
Lineage: Eukaryota; Viridiplantae; Streptophyta; Magnoliopsida; Fabales; Fabaceae
Description: long non-coding RNA (VRAD_LNC011994)
Source: RNAcentral
CAGAACGUAGUCGACUAUGUCACUUCAAUGUAGUCGACUAUGUCACUUCAAUGCAGUUUUGAAAAUAUUUCUUUGCAAAAAUACACACAACACUGUUUUUGAAGAUUUGUGCAAAGUCAUGAGUUUUAGUCGACUUGCUUCAUAAUGAAGUCAACUUAAAACUUGUAGUUUUGCCACACAAUAUAAGUUCAAUCAAAGUGCAUGUGGUUUUCUUUUCUAAAACGUAUGUUAUGCAAUAACAGAUGAUAUCUCAUGUAGAAAGCAGUCAAUAUGCACACAUAGACAGAAUCAACACAAACAUGUUCUUCAAGAAUUCAUACAUAUGAAAGUAAUGAACAUGUAACACAUAUCAGUACAUGUGUUAUUAAUAAUGUGUUGUCAUCAUCAAAAACCAGAAGCACUGUGAGAUUGUAAGGUUUAGCUAAACUAGUGCUCUCCUUAUCAACAAUCUCAACAAAAGAAAUUUUUAAACUAGUCAUGAAGAAUUCAAAAAUCGUGUACUUACUGAUGCAAGUAAGGUGUUAAAUAAACCUCUUUACCAGCUUUUUCGAACAUCUUUACCAACUAAAUAAAAAGAAUAAUUUCAUUCUAAUAACCAUAUUUGAAAGAAAAAACAUGAACAAUUACAAAAUAAUACAACUAAAAGACAAUAAAUUACAAAGACAUGAAGGAUAAAAAUUAAUACCUUAGAGAUGGAAUCUUCAAAUUGAUAACUUGUAGGAGGAACCCUAAUCAAUACUUGGUUGUAAUUGUAAUCAAUGACUGAGCAAUAGAACACAUUAAUAUAAAGUCAGCUUAUUGGAAAUUACAAAAACAACCUCAAAGUCUAUUAUGCAGCAAUUAUAAAUAUCCUGUGUUCCAAAAUUGGGGCCAGUACUCUUUUCUGGAUUUGUGAUAUUAACAAUAAUAGAAAUUAAACAAUCACAGUCAAUUAUACUAUGUAUUCAAGUUGAAGAACAGGGUUAUCUGUCAAUCUCUGUUUCGUGUAAGCACUUUCUAAGUAUUUGUAGAUAUUGAAC